Molecule: ribosomal RNA, 138 nt
Filed under: uncultured bacterium
Lineage: Bacteria
Description: partial 16S ribosomal RNA
Rfam family: Bacterial small subunit ribosomal RNA
Source: RNAcentral
GGAAACCCUGAUGCAGCAACGCCGCGUGGAGGAUGACGCAUUUCGGUGUGUAAACUCCUUUUAUAGGUCAAGAAAAUGACGGUAGCCUAUGAAUAAGCACCGGCUAACUCCGUGCCAGCAGCCGCGGUAAUACGGAGG